GACGAACCCUUUCGGCGUGCUUAACACAUGCAAGUCGAACGGAAAGGCCCUGCUUUUGUGGGGUGCUCGAGUGGCGAACGGGUGAGUAACACGUGAGUAACCUGCCCUUGACUUUGGGAUAACUUCAGGAAACUGGGGCUAAUACCGGAUAGGAGCUCCUGCUGCAUGGUGGGGGUUGGAAAGUUUCGGCGGUUGGGGAUGGACUCGCGGCUUAUCAGCUUGUUGGUGGGGUAGUGGCUUACCAAGGCUUUGACGGGUAGCCGGCCUGAGAGGGUGACCGGCCACAUUGGGACUGAGAUACGGCCCAGACUCCUACGGGAGGCAGCAGUGGGGAAUAUUGCACAAUGGGCGGAAGCCUGAUGCAGCAACGCCGCGUGCGGGAUGACGGCCUUCGGGUUGUAAACCGCUUUCGCCUGUGACGAAGCGUGAGUGACGGUAAUGGGUAAAGAAGCACCGGCUAACUACGUGCCAGCAGCCGCGGUGAUACGUAGGGUGCGAGCGUUGUCCGGAUUUAUUGGGCGUAAAGGGCUCGUAGGUGGUUGAUCGCGUCGGAAGUGUAAUCUUGGGGCUUAACCCUGAGCGUGCUUUCGAUACGGGUUGACUUGAGGAAGGUAGGGGAGAAUGGAAUUCCUGGUGGAGCGGUGGAAUGCGCAGAUAUCAGGAGGAACACCAGUGGCGAAGGCGGUUCUCUGGGCCUUUCCUGACGCUGAGGAGCGAAAGCGUGGGGAGCGAACAGGCUUAGAUACCCUGGUAGUCCACGCUGUAAACGGUGGGUACUAGGUGUGGGGUCCAUUCCACGGGUUCCGUGCCGUAGCUAACGCUUUAAGUACCCCGCCUGGGGAGUACGGCCGCAAGGCUAAAACUCAAAGGAAUUGACGGGGCCCCGCACAAGCGGCGGAGCAUGCGGAUUAAUUCGAUGCAACGCGUAGAACCUUACCUGGGUUUGACAUGGAUCGGGAGUGCUCAGAGAUGGGUGUGCCUCUUUUGGGGUCGGUUCACAGGUGGUGCAUGGCUGUCGUCAGCUCGUGUCGUGAGAUGUUGGGUUAAGUCCCGCAACGAGCGCAACCCUUGUUCACUGUUGCCAGCACGUUAUGGUGGGGACUCAGUGGAGACCGCCGGGGUCAACUCGGAGGAAGGUGGGGAUGACGUCAAGUCAUCAUGCCCCUUAUGUCCAGGGCUUCACGCAUGCUACAAUGGCUGGUACAGAGAGUGGCGAGCCUGUGAGGGUGAGCGAAUCUCGGAAAGCCGGUCUCAGUUCGGAUUGGGGUCUGCAACUCGACCUCAUGAAGUCGGAGUCGCUAGUAAUCGCAGAUCAGCAACGCUGCGGUGAAUACGUUCCCGGGGAU
Molecule: ribosomal RNA, 1346 nt
Filed under: uncultured bacterium
Lineage: Bacteria
Description: bacterial SSU rRNA
Rfam family: Bacterial small subunit ribosomal RNA
Source: RNAcentral